CCUACGGGAGGCAGCAGUGGGGGAUAUUGCACAAUGGGGGAAACCCUGAUGCAGCGACGCCGCGUGGGCGAAGACGUAUUUCGGUAUGUAAAGCCCUAUCAGCAGGGAAGAAGAAAUGACGGUACCUGAGUAAGAAGCACCGGCUCAAUACGUGCCAGCAGCCGCGGUAAUACGUAUGGUGCAAGCUUUAUCCGGAUUUACUGGGGGUAAAGGGAGCGCAUGCGGCACGGCAAGGCUAAUGGGAAAGCCCGCGGCCCAACCGCGGGACUGCAAUGGGAACUAGCGGGCUGGAGUGCAGGAGAGGUAUGCGGAAUUCGUAGUGUAGCGGUGAAAUGCGUAGAUAUUAGGAGGAACACCAGUGGCGAAGGCGGCCUACUGGACGGUGACUGACGCUGAGGCUCGAAAGCGUGGGGAGCAAACAGGAUUAGAUACCCGUGUAGUC
Molecule: ribosomal RNA, 442 nt
Filed under: uncultured bacterium
Lineage: Bacteria
Description: partial 16S ribosomal RNA
Rfam family: Bacterial small subunit ribosomal RNA
Source: RNAcentral